UACGAAGGUGGCAAGCGUUACUCGGAAUUACUAGGCGUAAAGGGCAGGUAGGUGGUUUGAUAAGUCUGUUGUGAAAGCUCCUGGCUUAACUGGGAGAGGUCAACGGAAACUAUCAGGCUUGAGUAUGGGAGAGGGUACUGGAAUUCCCGGUGUAGCGGUGAAAUGCGCAGAGAUCGGGAGGAACACCUAUGGCGAAAGCAGGUACCUGGACCAUUACUGACACUCAGCUGCGAAAGCUAGGGGAGCAAACAGG
Molecule: ribosomal RNA, 253 nt
Filed under: uncultured bacterium
Lineage: Bacteria
Description: partial 16S ribosomal RNA
Rfam family: Bacterial small subunit ribosomal RNA
Source: RNAcentral